Molecule: long non-coding RNA, 1133 nt
Filed under: Micromonas commoda
Lineage: Eukaryota; Viridiplantae; Chlorophyta; Mamiellophyceae; Mamiellales; Mamiellaceae
Description: long non-coding RNA (MCOM_LNC000275)
Source: RNAcentral
GUGAAGGAGAUGUCGGUGUGGCCGUCGAUGGAGAUGGAGUUGUCAUCGUAGAAGGCGAUGAGCUUGCCGAGUCCCCAGUGGGCGGCGAGGGAGGCGCCCUCACCGGACAUACCCUCCAUGUUGCAGCCGUCGCCCAUGAUGGCGUAGGUGUAGUGGUCGACGAUCUCACAGUCGGGCUUGUUGAAGCGGCCCGCGAGGUGCUUCUCGGCCAUCGCGAGGCCGACGGCGUUGCAGAUGCCCAUACCGAGGGGACCGGUGGUGACCUCAAUGCCGUUGGUGAUGAAGUUCUCGGGGUGACCGGGGGUGACGGAGUCCCACUGGCGGAAGUUCUUGAGGUCGUCGUUCUGUCGCGGAGAGGGGGAGGGGCGGGGAUGGUCAGCCGAUGUAAGGGGCGCAGGCGUAAAUUGACAAAAACUCUUGCAGUCCCGAAGCGAAAUGACCGGGAGGAUUUUUAUCCCCUUCGCCAGGAUUUCCGCUGUCGGAGCCGGGCAAGUUGGGCGGGGGCGACGGACGGGGCGCUCGUCCGAAGGCCGUUAUGGCGUGGGAUACCACCCAUCGUUCAGAUGUGCCCGAGUCUCCCCGGGUCUGACGCUCGCGUCACCCGCACGCUCCGGAUAAACCCCGACGUGUCGAAAAGCCCUGAGGCCGAUCUUCCCGCUAAACAAAGGGAUAAAUACCGAUUGGUUUUGCCGGGCGAAUGUGCGCGCCCGAUCGGGUACGCGGCGCGGGUUCGGCAGAAAGAAAGGGUUCGAUGACUCACCGAGACGGAGGGGUAGCCGGUGAGGUGCAUGAGGGAGUACUGGAGCAUGCAGCCGUGGCCCGCGGAGAGCACGAAGCGGUCGCGGUUGAACCACUGGUAGUUCUUGGGGUUGUGCGUCAUGGCCUCGCGGUAAAUCACGUAGCCCAUGGGCGCGCAGCCCAUGGGAAGACCGGGGUGGCCGGAGUUGGACUUGUUGAUAGCGUCGAUCGCAAGGAAGCGAAUGGUGUUGACGCAGUCCAUGACGGUCUCGGAGGAGACAUCCGCGGGCGCGGCGACGGCCUGAGCGCGGGUCACCGGCUUGACAGCGCGGGUGGUGACCUUGGCGGAGACCUUCCUCGCGGCGGCCUUGUUGAGGCGCUGACCGGCGAAGGAG